This 228-nucleotide unclassified non-coding RNA is filed under the name Hevea brasiliensis (rubber tree). The record is from RNAcentral. Lineage: Eukaryota; Viridiplantae; Streptophyta; Magnoliopsida; Malpighiales; Euphorbiaceae.
AAAAAAAAAAAAAAGGAGUUAUACUCCAACUUUCCCAAAGUUCCAAAGAAAGAACCAAAACUUAAAGUCUACAAGGAACGUUUCCGCUGCUAAAAAAGCACUGCUUUUUCAGUAAAUAAUCAGCGUUGCAAGAAUUUUUUUAAAAAAAAUUGCAAAUAGAGAUAGAAACUCAAGAAAUCUCAUUUCUAACAAUUAGCUUAAUAUCUUCUCGGGAACCAAACAGGGAAA